UACGUAGGGUGCGAGCGUUGUCCGGAAUUAUUGGGCGUAAAGAGCUUGUAGGCGGUCUGUCGCGUCUGCUGUGAAAACCCGAGGCUCAACCUCGGGCCUGCAGUGGGUACGGGCAGACUAGAGUGCGGUAGGGGAGAUUGGAAUUCCUGGUGUAGCGGUGGAAUGCGCAGAUAUCAGGAGGAACACCAAUGGCGAAGGCAGAUCUCUGGGCCGUAACUGACGCUGAGGAGCGAAAGCAUGGGGAGCGAACAGG
RNAcentral lists this ribosomal RNA (253 nucleotides) under uncultured bacterium. RNAcentral describes it as "partial 16S ribosomal RNA". It matches the Rfam family "Bacterial small subunit ribosomal RNA", at positions 524 to 776 of the family's 1533-position model. The record is from RNAcentral.